UAUUGAACAACGCAAAAUAAACAUUCAUGUUCUCGUAUAACAACAUCCGGUGAAAGGUUCGCUUCGGCUGAACCCAAGACCAUCGGAUACGGAGAUCGAAAUGGAGAAGGAAGCGAACAAUCUUGGGUGCGAUGCCUCUCUGCCUACGGGCAGAUGAGAGGGAGCGCAAUGAUUGAGCGUACAU
Molecule: non-coding RNA, 184 nt
Filed under: Colletotrichum higginsianum
Lineage: Eukaryota; Fungi; Ascomycota; Sordariomycetes; Glomerellales; Glomerellaceae
Also listed under: 1 other name
Description: a. fumigatus sRNA Afu_182
Rfam family: A. fumigatus sRNA Afu_182
Source: Rfam by way of RNAcentral